RNAcentral lists this ribosomal RNA (468 nucleotides) under uncultured bacterium. RNAcentral's name for it is "partial 16S ribosomal RNA". It matches the Rfam family "Bacterial small subunit ribosomal RNA", at positions 28 to 507 of the family's 1533-position model. The record is from RNAcentral.
GACGAACGCUGGCGGCGUGCUUAACACAUGCAAGUCGAACGGAAAGGCCCGGCUUUGGUGGGGUCGGCGAGUGGCGAACGGGUGAGUAACACGUGAGUAACCUGCCCUUGACUUUGGGAGAACUUCAGGAAACUGGGGCUAAUACCGCAUAGGAGCUACUGCUGCAUGGUGGGCGUGGGAAAGUUUCGCCUGUUGGGAAUGGACUCGCGGCCCAUCAGCUUGUUGGUUGGGUAGUGUCUUACCAAGGCCAGGAAGGGUAGCAGGGCUGGGAGGGUGACAGGAUCCGUUAGGACUGGAAUACGACACGGCCCAGACUGGGACGCGGCGGUGCAGAAUGGUGUAUAAGAGGAGGAAGGAUGAUGCAGCCACGCAACGUCGGGGAAGUGAGGCAUCGCGUUGUAAUGCGAUUUCGCCUGUGACGAAGCGUGAAUGACAGUAAUGGGUGAAGAAGCACCGGCUAACUACGUG